This is an RNA transcript of Carlito syrichta (Philippine tarsier), 1021 nucleotides long. It is a transcript of the gene named L-lactate dehydrogenase A chain-like, with no coding region annotated. The transcript is spliced from 2 exons. The record is from RefSeq and is a predicted model, not a curated record. Lineage: Eukaryota; Metazoa; Chordata; Mammalia; Primates; Tarsiidae.
CUGCAGCCACUGCAGCCGAGUCCGGAUCUCGUUUCCAUGCACCCCCGACGCCCGCCCGACGUGCACUCCUGAUUCCUUUUGGUUCAAAGUCCAAUAUGGCAACUCUCAAGGAUCAGCUGAUUCAUAAUCUUCUAAAGGAAGAACAGGCCCCCCAGAAUAAGAUUACAGUUGUUGGGGUUGGUGCUGUUGGCAUGGCCUGUGCCAUCAGUAUCUUAAUGAAGGACUUGGCAGAUGAACUUGCUCUUGUUGAUGUCAUGGAAGACAAAUUGAAGGGAGAGAUCAUGGACCUUCAAUAUGGCAGCCUUUUCCUUAGGACACCAAAAAUUGUCUCUGGAAAAGUGGCUAUCUUGACCUAUGUAGCUUGGAAGAUAAGUGGCUUUCCCAAAAACCGUGUUAUUGGAAGUGGCUGCAAUCUGGAUUCAGCCUGAUUCCAUUACCUGAUGGGAGAAAGGCUGGGAGUUCACCCACUGAGCUGUCAUGGGUGGGUCCUUGGAGAGCAUGGGGACUCUAGUGUUCCUGUGUGGAGUGCAGUGAAUGUUGCUGGUGUCUCCUUGAAGAAUCUGUACCCAGAUUUAGGCACUGAUACAGACAAGGAACAGUGGAAAGAGGUUCACAAACAGGCUGUUGUUAGUGCUUAUGAAGUGAUCAAACUGAAAGGCUACACAUCCUGGGCCACUGGACUGUCUGUGGCAGAUUUGGCAGAAAGUAUAAUGAAGAAUCUUAGGCGGGUGCAUCCAAUUUCCACCAUGAUUAAGGGUCUUUAUGGCAUAAAGGAUGGUGUCUUCCUUAGUGUUCCUUGCAUCUUGGGCCAGAAAGGUAUCUCAGACCUUGUGAAGGUGACUCUGACUCCUGAGGAAGAGGCCCGAUUGAAGAAGAGUGCAGAUACUCUCUGGGGGAUCCAAAAAGAGCUGUAAUUUUAAAGUCUUCUAAUAUCAUACUACUACACUGUCUAGGCUACACCGGGAUUUUAGUUGGAGCUUGUGCACGCUGUCCUUUUCACUUGAUCUGUGAUUAAAGCAGU